Molecule: ribosomal RNA, 174 nt
Filed under: uncultured bacterium
Lineage: Bacteria
Description: partial 16S ribosomal RNA
Rfam family: Bacterial small subunit ribosomal RNA
Source: RNAcentral
CCUACGGGAGGCAGCAGUGGGGAAUAUUGCACAAUGGACGGAAGUCUGAUGCAGCAACGCCGCGUGCGGGAUGACGGCCUUCGGGUUGUAAACCGCUUUCAGCAGGGACGAAGCGCAAGUGACGGUACCUGCAGAAGAAGCACCGGCUAACUACGUGCCAGCAGCCGCGGUAAU